AGGAGGGUGCAAAAUCAAAAGAAAUCAAAAGAAAUCUGAAUCAAAAGAAAGAAAAAGAAAGAAAGAAACAAAAGAAAAAUAGCACCCUCAAAGUCCCAAGUUGGCUGAUGCUGAAUUCAAUCGAAAAGAAGAGAUCAACUACCAUGUGUCAUGGUCAGUCAUAUCAGCAGAGAGUGAAGAAAGCAUUCGACAAGAAGGUCAAGCCUCGUGUG
Molecule: long non-coding RNA, 212 nt
Filed under: Lathyrus oleraceus (garden pea)
Lineage: Eukaryota; Viridiplantae; Streptophyta; Magnoliopsida; Fabales; Fabaceae
Description: Pisum sativum (pea) long non-coding RNA (PSAT_LNC041301)
Source: RNAcentral